Molecule: transfer RNA, 73 nt
Filed under: Microcaldota archaeon
Lineage: Archaea; Nanobdellati; Microcaldota
Description: tRNA-Trp
Rfam family: tRNA
About the family: Transfer RNA (tRNA) molecules are approximately 80 nucleotides in length.
Source: RNAcentral
GGGGUCAUGGCGUAACCAGGUAGCGCGGCUGGCUCCAGACCAGCAUGUUAGAGUUCAAAUCUCUAUGACCCCA